GAUGAACGCUAGCGGCAGGCUUAAUACAUGCAAGUCGAACGAGAUUGAGAAGCUUGCUUUUCCUGAGAGUGGCGCACGGGUGCGUAACACGUAUGCAACCUACCUUGUCCAGGGGGACAGCCCGUUGAAAGACGGAUUAAGAACGCAUAACAUUGAGCUGUGGUAUCAAAAAUCAAUCAACUAUUUAUAGGGACAAGAUUGGCAUGCGCCUGAUUAGGUAGUUGGCGGGGUAAUGGCCCACCAAGCCGACGAUCAGUAGGGGAUCUGAGAGGAUGACCCCCCACACUGGUACUGAGACACGGACCAGACGCCUACGGGAGGCAGCAGUAAGGAAUAUUGGUCAAUGGGCGAAAACCUGAACCAGCCAUGCCGCGUGCAGGAAGACGGCCCUACGGGUUGUAAACUGCUUUUAUACGGGAAUAACCCCGGUUUCGUGAAACCGGCUGAAUGUACCGUAAGAAUAAGGAUCGGCUAACUCCGUGCCAGCCGCCGCAGUAA
RNAcentral lists this ribosomal RNA (498 nucleotides) under uncultured bacterium. RNAcentral's name for it is "partial 16S ribosomal RNA". It matches the Rfam family "Bacterial small subunit ribosomal RNA", at positions 28 to 523 of the family's 1533-position model. The record is from RNAcentral.